UUAACUCAAAUUUGUAUGGAGUUGGAACAGCGCCCCUAGCGACAAACGUAGGCAAACUUUCCAAUUCCAUACAAAUUUUGAGUUA
This 85-nucleotide microRNA precursor is filed under the name Bombyx mori (domestic silkworm). RNAcentral describes it as "mir-2807 microRNA precursor family". It matches the Rfam family "mir-2807 microRNA precursor family". Lineage: Eukaryota; Metazoa; Arthropoda; Insecta; Lepidoptera; Bombycidae. The record is from Rfam by way of RNAcentral.